UACGUAGGGGGCAAGCGUUAUCCGGAUUUACUGGGUGUAAAGGGAGCGUAGACGGCAUGGCAAGUCAGAUGUGAAAGCCCGGGGCUCAACCCCGGGACUGCAUUUGAAACUGUCAGGCUGGAGUGCAGGAGAGGUAAGCGGAAUUCCAUGUGUAGCGGUGAAAUGCGUAGAGAUAUGGAGGAACACCAGUGGCGAAGGCGGCUUCCUGGUCUGCAACUGACACUGAGGCGCGAAAGCGUGGGGAGCAAACAGG
Molecule: ribosomal RNA, 253 nt
Filed under: uncultured bacterium
Lineage: Bacteria
Description: partial 16S ribosomal RNA
Rfam family: Bacterial small subunit ribosomal RNA
Source: RNAcentral